AUCCAGGUCUCUGGACAUCCCCCCCCGCCCCCCCCCCCCCAACACACACACACCAGGGCCUUCCAGUCGAGGACACAUGACUAUUUUUACCUAGGUGGGCUCUGGGCUGCCCACAUCCAGAGCGGGGCGUUCACCAUGGCAACGAUUGACGUCAUCAACCUCCGCAGCCAAUUCAAGGGGGCCGGAAGCUGCCCUGCGCAGGACGCGGGGCUGGGAGAGGUUGGCUGGGUCCCCCCACAGGGGAAAGGGCAGGUCUGGGGGAUUGAGGUGUCACUCAGAGGCCUGACCCCAGCUACUCUGAACCCACAAAACAAAACCGAGCUGUUCAAGAAAGAUGUGAAGUGGCAGAGAGAAGCGAGGGAAGGUCGGCAGCUCUCGGCAAAGGCUGGAUGGAAAGCUAGGACCGCAUGGAACUCUCCCGGCACCGCCCCCGGACCCUCUGCUCCCAGAGCCAUCUGCUUCCGCCCUCAGCCCCCUCUUUGCAGGCUGUUCCCCAAGGAAUGACUCCUGCGUAGACUGGGGUAGGUGGGGGCCCGAUCCCUUGGAAUUGCCCUUUAAAGAUAAUAUUUACGGCAUCCUCUUCUGUUCUUGGCUGGGCUGGGCGAGCUGCCUCCCAGCCAGAAGCCUCAGCUCCAUCCUGAGGAACCCCCAAUCUGGAGAAGACAGAGCAGGGCGUGGACACCUCCAUACUGGAGGCAUUAGGGGGGACCCAGAGGGAGAGAAGAGGCUGGAGCAGGCAGCAGGGGGGUGGGGAACGACAAGAGACUUCCUGCCCCCCCUCCCCCGGCUAGUGAGAAUCUAUAGGGUGGAAGUGGGACUCAGCCCAGUUGGCACCAAGCCCUGGGGGAAGUUGGCAGCUGCAGUGAAGGGAGAAAAGUCAGCAGGGACCACAUAGCACCCGCCUGAGGGCUUUCGGGAGGAGCAGAAUAAGUGGAACUGCGCUACAAGGAGGCAGGAUGGACCUUCCGGGGAACCUCUUCAGCAGCAGCAGAGACAAAGUUCAGUUACAAGCUCUGGCCACCUCUACUGCCCCUGGAUUUGGGGAUCUGGUGUUUUAAAAUUCUGCCCUUUGUGAAGCAAGGGUCCAGGUGGGAGAUGAUAAAAAUAAUGAUAAAAUAAUAAGAAUAGGGCAGCCCGGAUGGCUCAGUGGUUUAACACCACCUUCAGCCCAUGGUAUGAUCCCGGAGACCUGGGAUCAAGUCCUGUGUCAGGCUCCCUGCACGGAGCCUGCUUCUCCCUCUGCCUGUGUCUGUGCCUCUCUCUCUCUGCAUCUCUCAUGAAUAAAUAAAUAAAAUCUUAAAAAAUAAUAAGAAGA
RNAcentral lists this long non-coding RNA (1315 nucleotides) under Vulpes vulpes (red fox). Its description in RNAcentral is "lncRNA (ENSVVUG00000010115.1)". The record is from RNAcentral. Lineage: Eukaryota; Metazoa; Chordata; Mammalia; Carnivora; Canidae.